AUAAGCAUGUUUUGGCUUGUUUUUAUAGAUAAUAGAAUCUGUCCCUCCAGCUGGCCCUGAGGCAUCUGAGUCAACAACGGAUGAAAAUGAAGACGACAUUCAGUUUGUCAGUGAAGGACCAUUACGACCUGUUCUUGAAUACAUUGAUCUGGUCAGCAGUGAUGAUGAAGAGCCUAGCACCUCUUAUACUGAUGUGCCCUAUACAACAGGAUUCUUUUGUUCCAGAACCACAUGACCACAGAAAAUUUGUUUUCUCUUAGAAAAAAGGAUAUGUAGAGAUCCUUUUAGGAAUGGAGAAUAUUAAACGUAAAGACCAUAUUGAUCAUCAGAAGGAUAAAGUUGCUUUAACUCUGGCUCGUCUAGCCCGCCAUGUGGAAGUGGAGAAACAGCAGAAAGAAGAGAAGAAUAGAGCAUUCAGAGAAAAAAUUGAUUUUCAGCAUGCUCAUGGGUUACAAGAAUUGGAAUUUAUUCGAGGAC
RNAcentral lists this small RNA (477 nucleotides) under Pan troglodytes (chimpanzee). Its description in RNAcentral is "processed transcript". Lineage: Eukaryota; Metazoa; Chordata; Mammalia; Primates; Hominidae. The record is from RNAcentral.